UUGGCGCCAGAUUCGUUUACCGUGAAAAAAUUAGAGUGUUCAAAGCGGGCAGAUAUUUUUCCUGCCCCCGAAUACAUUAGCAUGGGAUAAUGGAAUAGGACCCUGACCUCCUAUUUUCAGUUGGUUUUGUUUACAGCGAGGUUAUAUCAGGGUAAUGAUUAAUAGGGAUAGUUGGGGGCAUUAAUAUUUAAUUGUCAGAGGUGAAAUUCUUGGAUUUAUGAAAGAUUAACUUCUGCGAAAGCGUUUGCCAAGGAUGUUUUCAUUAAUCAAGAACGAAAGUUAGGGGAUCGAAGACGAUCAGAUACCGUCGUAGUCUUAACCAUAAACGAUGCCGACCAGCGAUUAGGAGACGUUGAAUACAAAACACCGCCGUUAAUCCUUUCGGGGGUUAAUGGUUGGUGAAUGACUCCCUAGCGACUUUGGUAAAAA
This 429-nucleotide ribosomal RNA is filed under the name Acanthamoeba lenticulata. Its description in RNAcentral is "SSU rRNA". It matches the Rfam family "Eukaryotic small subunit ribosomal RNA", at positions 736 to 1098 of the family's 1831-position model. Lineage: Eukaryota; Discosea; Longamoebia; Acanthamoebidae. The record is from RNAcentral.